Molecule: ribosomal RNA, 434 nt
Filed under: uncultured bacterium
Lineage: Bacteria
Description: partial 16S ribosomal RNA
Rfam family: Bacterial small subunit ribosomal RNA
Source: RNAcentral
AGCGAACGCUGGCGGCAGGCCUAACACAGGCAAGUCGAACGAACCUUUCGGGGUUAGUGGCGGACGGGUGAGUAACACGUGGGAACGUGCCUUUAGGUUCGGAAUAACUCAGGGAAACUUGUGCUAAUACCGAAUGUGCCCUUCGGGGGAAAGAUUUAUCGCCUUUAGAGCGGCCCGCGUCUGAUUAGCUAGUUGGUUGAGGUAAUGGCUCACCAAGGCGACGAUCAGUAGCUGGUCUGAGAGGAUGAUCAGCCACAUUGGGACUGAGACACGGCCCAAACUCCUACGGGAGGCAGCAGUGGGGAAUCUUGCGCAAUGGGCGAAAGCCUGACGCAGCCAUGCCGCGUGAAUGAUGAAGGUCUUAGGAUUGUAAAAUUCUUUCACCGGGGACGAUAAUGACGGUACCCGGAGAAGAAGCCCCGGCUAACUUCGUG